Molecule: ribosomal RNA, 467 nt
Filed under: uncultured bacterium
Lineage: Bacteria
Description: partial 16S ribosomal RNA
Rfam family: Bacterial small subunit ribosomal RNA
Source: RNAcentral
GACGAACGCUGGCGGCGUGCUUAACACAUGCAAGUCGAACGGAAAGGCCCUGCUUUUGUGGGGUGCUCGAGUGGCGAACGGGUGAGUAACACGUGAGUAACCUGCCCUUGACUUUGGGAUAACUUCAGGAAACUGGGGCUAAUACCGGAUAGGAGCUCCUGCUGCAUGGUGGGGGUUGGAAAGUUUCGGCGGUUGGGGAUGGACUCGCGGCUUAUCAGCUUGUUGGUGGGGUAGUGGCUUACCAAGGCUUUGACGGGUAGCCGGCCUGAGAGGGUGACCGGCCACAUUGGGACUGAGAUACGGCCCAGACUCCUACGGGAGGCAGCAGUGGGGACUAUUGCACAAUGGGCGGAAGCCUGCUGCAGCAACGCCGCGUGCGGGAUGACGGCCUUCGGGUUGUAAACCGCUUUCGCCUGUGACGAAGCGUGAGUGACGGUAAUGGGUAAAGAAGCACCGGCUAACUACGU